Molecule: ribosomal RNA, 253 nt
Filed under: uncultured bacterium
Lineage: Bacteria
Description: partial 16S ribosomal RNA
Rfam family: Bacterial small subunit ribosomal RNA
Source: RNAcentral
UACGUAGGGUGCGAGCGUUGUCCGGAAUUAUUGGGCGUAAAGGGCUCGUAGGCGGCUUGUCGCGUCGGGAGUGAAAACCUUGGGCUUAACUCAGGGCUUGCUUUCGAUACGGGCAGACUAGAGGUAUGCAGGGGAGAACGGAAUUCCUGGUGUAGCGGUGAAAUGCGCAGAUAUCAGGAGGAACACCGGUGGCGAAGGCGGUUCGCUGGGCAUGAUCUGACGCUGAGGAGCGAAAGUGUGGGGAGCGAACAGG